UACAGAGGUCUCAAGCGUUGUUCGGAUUCAUUGGGCGUAAAGAGCGUGUAGGCGGCUUUACAGGUCCGUUGUGAAAACUCGAGGCUCAACCUCGAGACGCCGGUGGAAACCGUAAAGCUAGAGUCCGGAAGAGGAGAGUGGAAUUCCUGGUGUAGCGGUGAAAUGCGCAGAUAUCAGGAGGAACACCCGUGGCGAAAGCGGCUCUCUGGGACGGUACUGACGCUGAGACGCGAAAGCGUGGGGAGCAAACAGG
This 253-nucleotide ribosomal RNA is filed under the name uncultured bacterium. Its description in RNAcentral is "partial 16S ribosomal RNA". It matches the Rfam family "Bacterial small subunit ribosomal RNA", at positions 524 to 776 of the family's 1533-position model. The record is from RNAcentral.